RNAcentral lists this ribosomal RNA (471 nucleotides) under uncultured bacterium. RNAcentral's name for it is "bacterial SSU rRNA". It matches the Rfam family "Bacterial small subunit ribosomal RNA", at positions 20 to 491 of the family's 1533-position model. The record is from RNAcentral.
UGGCUCAGAUUAGAACGCUGGCGGCGAGGCUUAACACAUGCAAGUCGAGCGGUAACACGUUCGGGUGACGAGCGGCGGACGGGUGAGUAAUACAUAGGAAUCUGCCUAGUAGUGGGGGAUAACGUAGGGAAACUUACGCUAAUACCGCAUACAUCCUACGGGGGAAAGCAGGGGAUCUUCGGACCUUGCGCUAUUAGAUGAGCCUAUGUCGGAUUAGCUAGUUGGUGAGGUAAAGGCUCACCAAGGCGACGAUCCGUAGCUGGUCUGAGAGGAUGAUCAGCCACACUGGGACUGAGACACGGCCCAGACUCCUACGGGAGGCAGCAGUGGGGAAUAUUGGACAAUGGGCGCAAGCCUGAUCCAGCCAUGCCGCGUGUGUGAAGAAGGCCUUAGGGUUGUAAAGCACUUUCAUUGGGGAGAAAGGCUGUUUGGUUAAUACCCAAGCAGAUUGAUGUUACCCAAAGAAGAAGG